CACGUAGGGCGCGAGCGUUGUCCGGAAUUAUUGGGCGUAAAGAGCUCGUAGGCGGCCUGUUGCGUCCGCUGUGAAAGCCCGGGGCUUAACCCCGGGUCUGCAGUGGAUACGGGCAGGCUAGAGGUAGGUAGGGGAGAAUGGAAUUCCCGGUGUAGCGGUGAAAUGCGCAGAUAUCGGGAGGAACACCUAUGGCGAAGGCAGCUCGCUGGGACGUUACUGACGCUGAGACGCGAAAGCGUGGGGAGCAAACAGG
RNAcentral lists this ribosomal RNA (253 nucleotides) under uncultured bacterium. Its description in RNAcentral is "partial 16S ribosomal RNA". It matches the Rfam family "Bacterial small subunit ribosomal RNA", at positions 524 to 776 of the family's 1533-position model. The record is from RNAcentral.